Molecule: ribosomal RNA, 254 nt
Filed under: uncultured bacterium
Lineage: Bacteria
Description: partial 16S ribosomal RNA
Rfam family: Bacterial small subunit ribosomal RNA
Source: RNAcentral
UACGUAGGGGGCGAGCGUUGUCCGAAGUUACUGGGCGUAAAGAGCGCGUAGGCGGAUCUUUAAGUGAGGGGUGAAAGGUUCAGGGCUUAACCCGGACACUGCCUUUCAUACUGGAGACCUUGAGUGCGGGAGAGGCGAGUGGAAUUCUUGGUGUAGCGGUGAAAUGCGUAGAUAUCAAGAGGAACACCCAUGGCGAAGGCAGCUCGCUGGCCUGCAACUGACGCUGAGGCGCGAAAGCGUGGGGAGCAAACAGG